AGGGUCCAGCAGGGAGGGGUGGCAGGGAUUCCCGCCUGUUACAGAGACUCCCCCACACCUUUCUCCCAACAGGUGUUCCCG
RNAcentral lists this non-coding RNA (81 nucleotides) under Homo sapiens (human). The record is from RNAcentral. Lineage: Eukaryota; Metazoa; Chordata; Mammalia; Primates; Hominidae.